This 3216-nucleotide ribosomal RNA is filed under the name Triticum aestivum (bread wheat). RNAcentral's name for it is "partial small subunit ribosomal RNA". The record is from RNAcentral. Lineage: Eukaryota; Viridiplantae; Streptophyta; Magnoliopsida; Poales; Poaceae.
CACACGCAGAGAGAGCGAGAGACCCGCCGCCCCACCCCCCUCACCCGCCGCCGCCCCGUGCGUCCCGUCCGUUCGGUCCGUUAGGGCUUCGGCCGUCCGCCAUGGCGAUCCUCGGGGAGCUCGGGACCGAGAUCCUCAUCCCCGUCUGCGGGGUCGUCGGCAUCGUCUUCGCCGUCGCGCAGUGGUUCAUCGUCUCCAAGGUCAAGGUCACCCCCGGCGCCGCCUCCGCCGCCGGCGGCGGCAAGAACGGCUACGGCGACUACCUCAUCGAGGAGGAGGAGGGCCUCAACGACCACAACGUCGUCGUCAAGUGCGCCGAGAUCCAGACCGCCAUCUCUGAAGGAGCAACCUCAUUUCUUUUCACCAUGUACCAGUAUGUUGGUAUGUUCAUGGUCGUCUUUGCUGCGGUUAUCUUCGUCUUCCUUGGGUCGAUUGAGGGAUUCAGCACAAAGGGCCAGCCCUGCACCUACAGCACGGGCACCUGCAAGCCAGCUCUCUACACCGCUCUCUUCAGCACUGCGUCUUUCUUGCUUGGAGCCAUCACAUCUCUGGUGUCUGGUUUCCUUGGGAUGAAGAUCGCCACAUACGCCAAUGCCAGGACGACCCUGGAAGCAAGGAAGGGUGUUGGGAAGGCAUUUAUCACCGCUUUCCGCUCUGGUGCAGUCAUGGGCUUCUUGUUGUCAUCAAGUGGGCUUGUGGUUCUUUACAUCACCAUCAAUGUGUUCAAGAUGUACUACGGUGAUGACUGGGAAGGUCUUUUUGAGUCCAUCACUGGUUAUGGUCUGGGUGGGUCUUCCAUGGCUCUAUUCGGAAGAGUUGGUGGAGGUAUCUACACCAAGGCUGCUGACGUGGGUGCUGACCUUGUUGGCAAAGUUGAGAGGAACAUUCCUGAAGAUGACCCAAGGAACCCAGCUGUAAUUGCUGACAACGUCGGUGACAAUGUUGGUGAUAUUGCUGGGAUGGGAUCAGAUCUCUUUGGUUCAUACGCAGAAUCGUCCUGCGCUGCUCUUGUUGUUGCUUCUAUCUCAUCUUUUGGAAUCAACCAUGAUUUCACUGCGAUGUGCUACCCACUGCUCGUGAGCUCUGUUGGCAUCAUUGUUUGCUUGCUCACCACCCUGUUUGCGACUGAUUUCUUUGAGAUCAAGGCUGCAAGCGAAAUUGAACCUGCUCUGAAGAAGCAGCUCAUCAUCUCCACUGCUUUAAUGACUAUCGGUGUUGCGGUGAUCAGCUGGUUGGCUCUCCCAGCUAAGUUCACCAUCUUCAACUUCGGUGCUCAGAAGGACGUGUCCAACUGGGGCCUGUUCUUCUGUGUGGCAGUUGGUCUGUGGGCUGGUCUGAUUAUUGGGUUUGUGACCGAAUACUACACUAGCAAUGCCUACAGCCCUGUGCAAGAUGUUGCCGAUUCCUGCAGAACUGGUGCUGCCACCAACGUCAUCUUCGGUCUUGCCCUUGGUUACAAGUCAGUCAUCAUCCCAAUUUUCGCUAUUGCUGUCAGCAUCUACGUCAGCUUCUCUAUUGCUGCAAUGUACGGCAUUGCAAUGGCUGCUCUUGGCAUGCUUAGCACAAUGGCAACUGGUCUUGCUAUCGAUGCUUAUGGUCCCAUUAGUGACAAUGCUGGUGGAAUUGCUGAGAUGGCUGGCAUGAGCCACAGAAUCCGUGAGAGGACUGAUGCUCUUGAUGCUGCUGGCAACACAACCGCUGCUAUUGGAAAGGGUUUCGCCAUUGGAUCAGCUGCUCUUGUGUCCCUGGCACUUUUUGGUGCCUUCGUCAGCAGAGCUGGUGUGAAGGUCGUUGAUGUCCUAUCUCCCAAGGUGUUCAUUGGCCUGAUUGUCGGAGCCAUGCUUCCGUACUGGUUCUCUGCCAUGACCAUGAAGAGUGUUGGAAGUGCUGCUCUCAAGAUGGUUGAGGAGGUCCGCAGGCAGUUCAAUACCAUCCCUGGACUGAUGGAGGGAACUGCCAAGCCCGACUAUGCCACCUGUGUCAAGAUCUCCACUGAUGCUUCCAUCAGGGAGAUGAUUCCUCCGGGUGCUUUGGUCAUGCUCACCCCCCUCAUUGUCGGAACCCUCUUUGGCGUGGAAACCCUGUCUGGUGUUCUUGCUGGUGCCCUUGUUUCUGGAGUACAGAUCGCCAUCUCUGCUUCCAACACCGGCGGUGCAUGGGACAACGCAAAGAAGUACAUUGAGGCCGGCAACAGCGAGCACGCGAGGUCCCUUGGCCCCAAGGGUUCAGACUGCCACAAGGCGGCCGUGAUCGGCGACACCAUCGGAGACCCCCUCAAGGACACCUCAGGCCCGUCGCUCAACAUCCUCAUCAAGCUGAUGGCCGUCGAGUCCCUCGUGUUCGCGCCCUUCUUCGCCACGUACGGAGGUGUGCUGUUCAAGUACAUCUAGAAGACUCGUCGAGCGGACUUAGAAUCUACGGACACCAUCACGAAUAACUCUGCCCCGCCCGCCCGCCGUUCGUAUGUUGUGCGCUGCUGUUAUUUUUGGUUCUUGUGUCAUUAUUCCAGGAUUGCCGCAGUUUACCCCCACUUUCCCUUUGGCCUCUUGGGUGUGUUACGUUAGUCUCACCAUUACCGGCUUGUAGCUCCAUGUAGUAGAAGAGAGAGACCAGAUGUCCUCGGUCAUUAUUGGUAUGUGUCUGGCAAAUUUUCCUCGUCCCGUGAUGACGACGAUAAUGUUUGAACCCUUGAACAAUGAUAUCAUGACGAUUGUUGCAUCAUCUCACCUAUGCCGAGUCUUUAUUCUUAUUCAGCUGAUCUGUGUGCACCUGUGACUUGCUGCUCGAUCUGCAUAAGAUCAGCUAGAUAGAAGUGCUAGUUCAGAAUGUAGGAAUGUUCUGAUCUUGUGUGAAAUGCCUGGAAAUUUCUGCAUGAAACCAACAAAUUUCUUUGAAAAUUCCUGUGAAGUAGUUGGUUUCCCAUUGCCUCUUGGUUCAGAAAAGCUUCAUUCCUACUUUGAUUCUCUAUGUUCCCAUCCAAAACAACAUGGCUCUGAGGCUGAAGGUAAAUGUUUCCUAUCCUUUUUGUCUGCCACCAUUACAAGAAAACACAAACCACUCGGAAGAAACCAGGAAAGAGUUAUUCCCAUUGCGUCUUGUUUCACUAUGUCAAUUUCCCCUUCAUCCUCUUACAAUCUAAUCACACAAAGCCACACACUCUUCAGCCAUCUUAUAACUAUCUUGGGAUGGACAUGCUUAGCAAGCCACCCUUUAUGA